UCUAAUCGUGUCCUCUGCACUCGCUCGUCCACGGCGCGAGCUCUUAUCUGAUAUUCAUACGUUCGGUGCCACCGCCCGGCUUGGGAAACACUCGGGAGUGCCUCCGCAUGACGGAUAAACUUGCGAAAUAGCGUAACACGGAAGAAUGAUAAUUGGAGCAGAGUUCAUUACGCGGAAUGCAUGGCGACACCGUAGUCGGGACAAUAAAGCACCAAAGGAUGCUCCGCGUGCAUACAAAAGUAGGAGAGUGAGAGAUGGCUGAAAUCUGAAUACUGUAUGAGAUAUUUUACGUUUUUUUUUUAUUCCGGAAUAAAACAUACGCAAUAUCAAGGAUCUGUUCUGGAAUGAAAUCUAUGUAAUUUCGAAGAUUUGUUGCCGAAUAAAAUAUAUAUAAAUUUCAGGA
Vollenhovia emeryi is the source of this 403-nucleotide long non-coding RNA. RefSeq lists it as uncharacterized. The transcript is spliced from 2 exons. The record is from RefSeq and is a predicted model, not a curated record. Lineage: Eukaryota; Metazoa; Arthropoda; Insecta; Hymenoptera; Formicidae.